RNAcentral lists this ribosomal RNA (263 nucleotides) under uncultured bacterium. RNAcentral describes it as "partial 16S ribosomal RNA". It matches the Rfam family "Bacterial small subunit ribosomal RNA", at positions 524 to 786 of the family's 1533-position model. The record is from RNAcentral.
UACGUAGGGGGCGAGCGUUGUCCGGAAUUAUUGGGCGUAAAGGGCGUGUAGGCGGUUAUUUAAGUCAGGUGUGAAACACCACGGCUCAACCGUGGGGUUGCACUUGAAACUGGAGGACUUGAGUGCAGGAGAGGAGAGCGGAAUUCCCGGUGUAGCGGUGAAAUGCGUAGAUAUCGGGAAGAACACCAGUGGCGAAGGCGGCUCUCUGGCCUGUAACUGACGCUGAGGCGCGAAAGCUAGGGUAGCGAACGGGAUUAGAUACC